GAAACAGCUGAAACGAGGAGAACGUUAUGUAGUGAGGGUUAGAGCAAGACCGGUAAAAGAACUCCAUGGAGCCUGGAGUGAAUGGAGCUCGGAAGCUGAGUGGAGAAAUGAUUAUAGUCUUACCAUACUGGAUCAGAUGGAUAUCAUUAUCCCAAUUACCUGCAUUGUGAUGUUAUGCCUGCUUAUAGGAUGUUAUGCCUGCUUUACCAGAUGCAAGAAGACAUGGUGGGAUACUAUUCCAAGCCCAGCAAAAAGCACCUUUGUCAAGAAAAAACUGAUACAGAAACACAGAUCAUUUCCAGA
Molecule: long non-coding RNA, 303 nt
Organism: Nanorana parkeri
Lineage: Eukaryota; Metazoa; Chordata; Amphibia; Anura; Dicroglossidae
Exons: 4
Source: RefSeq, a predicted model, not a curated record